RNAcentral lists this ribosomal RNA (497 nucleotides) under uncultured bacterium. RNAcentral's name for it is "partial 16S ribosomal RNA". It matches the Rfam family "Bacterial small subunit ribosomal RNA", at positions 30 to 523 of the family's 1533-position model. The record is from RNAcentral.
AUUGAACGCUGGCGGCAUGCCUUACACAUGCAAGUCGAACGGUAACAGGUCUUCGGAUGCUGACGAGUGGCGAACGGGUGAGUAAUACAUCGGAACGUGCCUAGUAGGGGGGGAUAACUACUCGAAAGAGUGGCUAAUACCGCAUGAGAUCUACGGAUGAAAGCAGGGGAUCGCAAGACCUUGUGCUACUAGAGCGGCCGAUGGCAGAUUAGGUAGUUGGUGGGGUAAAAGCUUACCAAGCCGACGAUCUGUAGCUGGUCUGAGAGGACGAUCAGCGACACUGGGACUGAGACACGGCCCAGACUCCUACGGGAGGCAGCAGUGGGGAAUUUUGGACAAUGGGCGAAAGCCUGAUCCAGGAAUGCCGCGUGCAGGAUGAAGGCUUUCGGGUUGUAAACUGCUUUUGUACGGAACGAAAAGCCCGGGUUAAUACCCUGGGGUCAUGACGGUACCGUAAGAAUAAGCACCGGCUGACUACGUGCCAGCCGCCGCCGUAA